UAGGGAAUCUUCCGCAAUGGACGCAAGUCUGACGGAGCAACGCCGCGUGAGUGAAGAAGGAUUUCGGUUCGUAAAACUCUGUUGUUAGAGAAGAACAGCGCAUAGAGUAACUGUUAUGCGUGUGACGGUAUCUAACCAGAAAGCCACGGCUAACUACGUGCCAGCAGCCGCGGUAAUACGUAGGUGGCAAGCGUUGUCCGGAUUUAUUGGGCGUAAAGCGAGCGCAGGCGGUCAAUUAAGUCUGAUGUGAAAGCCCCCGGCUCAACCGGGGAGGGUCAUUGGAAACUGGUUGACUUGAGUGCAGAAGAGGAGAGUGGAAUUCCAUGUGUAGCGGUGAAAUGCGUAGAUAUAUGGAGGAACACCAGUGGUGAAGGCGACUCUCUGGUCUGUAACUGACGCUGAGGCUCGAAAGCGUGGGUAGCAAACAGG
This 429-nucleotide ribosomal RNA is filed under the name Bacteroidota bacterium. RNAcentral describes it as "Bacteroidetes bacterium partial 16S ribosomal RNA". It matches the Rfam family "Bacterial small subunit ribosomal RNA", at positions 355 to 776 of the family's 1533-position model. The record is from RNAcentral. Lineage: Bacteria; Pseudomonadati; Bacteroidota.